GAAAUGCGAUAAUUAAUGUGAAUUGCAGAAUUCAGUGAAUCAUCGAGUCUUUGAACGCACAUUGCGCCCCCUGGUAUUCCGGGGGGCAUGCCUGUCCGAGCGUCAUCUCUGCCCUCAAGCACGGCUUGUGUGUUGGGCUUCCGUCCCUGGCAACGGGGACGGGCCCAAAAGGCAGUGGCGGCACCAUGUCUGGUCCUCGAGCGUAUGGGGCUUUGUCACCCGCUCCCGUAGGUCCAGCUGGCAGCUAGCCUCGCAACCAAUCUUUUUAACCAGGUUGACCUCGGAUCAGGUAGGGAUACCCGCUGAACUUAAGC
This 314-nucleotide unclassified non-coding RNA is filed under the name plant metagenome. Its description in RNAcentral is "partial contains 5.8S ribosomal RNA, internal transcribed spacer 2, and large subunit ribosomal RNA". The stretch from base 1 to 105 matches the Rfam family "5.8S ribosomal RNA", at positions 50 to 154 of the family's 154-position model. The record is from RNAcentral.